Molecule: long non-coding RNA, 3523 nt
Filed under: Prunus persica (peach)
Lineage: Eukaryota; Viridiplantae; Streptophyta; Magnoliopsida; Rosales; Rosaceae
Source: RNAcentral
GCCUAAUGAUGGAAAACUCAUUUUUGGAGCGGUUCUGUGGAUUAUUGUUAGGAGCCUUUUCUAUCAUUUUUGCUUACUAGCCAUUAUCAUCAUCAUAAACACCAUCCUCUAUCUAUCCAUCUCUCUCUCUCUCUCUCUCUCUCUCUCUCUCUCUCUCUCUCUCUCUCUCUCUCGCUCUCUCUCUCUCUCUCCCUCCCUCCCUCCCCCCUGGCUUGUAGUGUUGAAGAUGUGAAGAGGCUCAUAGUGAUUAUCCAGUGGUUAACUGUCAAUGACCAGACAUAGCUAUGAGAUCUGAAGGCUUGCCCAGAAACAUUUGUUUCUUUUAAGAUAUGUUUAUUGAAUCUUAAAUCAUUUUUGUUCCUUAGUUAUUCUAUGGUUGUAUUUUCUUGGUUUCCACAUAUUUAUUAUGCUCCUCCUUUAUUAUGUCCUUUAUUUACCAUUGCUUCGAAGUUGCGACUGCAUUUCAUUGUAGUAGUGAUGCUGUGUUGACGAUCAGAUCUACUCUUUUGUCUAUUCUGUGCGUCUGCAUGAUAUAACUGCAUAUGCCCACUCGUUUUUGUUUAUUGUUUUUAACCAUGUUUUCUAGUGUAUCUAUUUUGCUGCCUCAGGAAGAUGGUUCAAUGUUUAUUAGCCUAAUGAUGGAAAACUCAUUUUUGGAGCGGUUCUGUGGAUUAUUGUUAGGAGCCUUUUCUAUCAUUUUUGCUGUACUAGCCAUUAUCAUCAUCAUAAACACCAUCCUCUCUCUCUGUCUCUCUGUCUCUCUGUCUCUCUCUCUCACUCUCUCUCUGUCUCUCUCUCUCUCUCUGUGGCUUGUACGGUUGGAGAUGUGAAGAGGCUCGUAGUGAUAAUCCAGUGGUUAACCGUCAAUGACCAGAUAUAGCUAUGAGAUCUGAAGGCUUGCCCAGAGACAUUUGUUCCUUUUAAGAUAUGGUUAUUGAAUCUUAAAUCAUUUUUGUUCCUCAGUUAUUCUAUGGUUGUAUUUUCUUGGUUUCCACAUUUUUUACACUCCUCCUUUAUUAUGUCCUUUAUUUACCAUUGCAUCAAAGUUGCGACUGCGUUUUGUUGUAGUAGUGAUGCUGUGUUAACGAUCAGAUCUACUCUUUUGUCUAUUCUGUGUCUCCAUGAUAUAACUGUAGAUGCCCACUCGUUUUUGUUUUUUUUAAACUGUGUUUUCUAGUGUAGCUAUUUUGCUGCCUCAGGACGAUGGUUCAAUUUUUAUUAGCCUAAUGAUGGAAAACUCAUUUUUGGAGCGGUUCUGUGGAUUAUUGUUAGGAGCCUUUUCUAUCAUUUUUGCUUACUAGCCAUUAUCAUCAUCAUAAACACCAUCCUCUAUCUAUCCAUCUCUCUCUCUCUCUCUCUCUCUCUCUCUCUCUCUCUCUCUCGCGCGGGCGUGUAGAGAUGAAGAUAAAAAGAGGCUCAUAGUGAUAAUCCAGUGGUUAAAUGUCAAUGAAUAUAUAUAGCUAUGAGAUCUGAAGGCUUGUCUAUAGACAUUUUUUGUCCUUCUAAGAUAUGCUUAUUAAAUUGUAAAUCACUUUUCGUCCUUAGUUAUUCUAUGGUGUUUUAUCUUCAUUUCUACAUAUCUAUUACGCUCCUCUUUAUUAUGCCCCUUAUUGACCAUUAUAUGGAAUUUGUGACUGCAUUUCGUUUUAAACAUUUGCACUGAAUAAUAUGUAUUUCCCAUGUGGUGCAAAUAUCCUUCCCAAGGUGCCCUUGAAACGCUGAUAAAAUUAAUGUGAUGGAACUUCAGUCAACUGCAAAUAGUAGAGCGUCCUGGAAUGUGGUUAUUUUGACAUUGUCAAUGGCACAGUUAAGAGUUUCAAUUGGUUUGUUUUUCUUUUGGUUUGGUGUGACUAUUUGGCAACUAUUGUAUGAAAUUUUGUUUGCUAGUGCUAGUUUAGAUAUUUAAGGUGUAUGGCUAACUGUAUGAGAUUCCAUAGAUUAAAUUGUGUUUGAUGGUAGAUUCCAUUUUAGUACUCCAUUGAUCUGAUCUUUGUUGGAAUUCAAAUAAAAGGUGAAGUUAUUAUUGUAGGUUUGAGCAUAUGAGACUUUAAAAAACAACGCUGUACUAAUGAUCAGAUCUAGUGUCUUUUGUUUAUUCUGUGCCUUUCCACGUUCUACUUGUGGUUGUCUGAGUUUAUAUUUCUUGCCUUUUUUAUUUUUUGGGAUUACCUUGUAAUGUAAUCUAACAAAUUUGCUGCCUCAGAAAAUUGGUGCAAUUUUUUAUUAGCCUGGUGAUGGAAACCUCUUUUUUUUGUUAUGAUUUUUAUAGCACUUUAUAUUAUAAGACUGCAGGUACCUGAAUAGUUUUUUGUAACACAGUUUCUUAUUACUUUCAAUGAGCUUUAAAAUUUAAAUCUGGUUUUCAUUUGUGAAGUACAGAACAGUUAUGAACUGUUUGAGUACCUUUGAGCUUACUUGAUGUCUCAAUUUUCUUACUAGAUAUAUUUAUAUAAACUAAAAUCUUUAGAAUAUUUAAGAAUAUAUAUUAAUUUAUAAUUUAUAUAUUAAUUAUUUAAUUGAAAUGUAAUUUAAUGGUGUCAGGCAUUUGAUGUCAAGUUGGUUCAAAAUCCGCCAAUGUCUAUGACCAUGGUUUGUAUUAUGGCUUGUUGUGUAUAAUGGCAUAGUUUUUAAGUGGAUUUUAAAAUUUUCUUUUCCGUGGUCUGGGUUAAUUGCUAAGUGGGACUUUGGUGAACAAUGAUACAUGCAUUGGGCUUGGAGCAGUUUAUGACUGCAGCCAUUGAUGGAAAUGCAACCUAGAAAGCUAUAUAUGACCCCUGUAGAAAUCCUUGCAUUCCUGUGAUACGGGUGUUGCAAUGUUAGGAUGAAAUUUUUAUCUGCUAGUUGUAGGGGUAUGGCUGACUGCAAGAGAUUCCAUACAAGUAAAUUGUGUUUAUCUGGUAUAUUUUCAAAUUGGGUGUUCAGGACAUGGUGUUGAUUGAAAAUCUACUCAUGCUCAUGGCUACGGUCGUAUUUGUGGCGAGUAAUUUAUAGUGAAUUGGUAUUAAAAUCGAGUGAUGUACAUGCAUGCACUGAGCUCCGAGCUGUGGUUAUUGAUGGAAAUGCAGGCAGCUUAGAAAACUAUAUAUGAGCCUCCAUGAAAUCCUUUUGCUUUUCUGUUCGCAGGUGUUGGAUUUAAAAUGAAAUUUCUGUUUGGGCUAGAUUGGAUUCUUAAGGUAUGGAUUGGACUUUGUAGUAUUAAACUGUGUAUGGAAGUGGAUUUUGUGUGAUUACAAUCAUUGGAUCAGUUGCACUCCUUUGGCCUGAUGAUGGAAAACUCAUUUCUGGGAGCGGUACUAUGGAUUAUUAUAAGUAUGAGCCUUUUCUAUCAUUCUUUCCAUGCUAGUCCUCAUCAUCAUCAUCAUCAUCAUCAUCAUCACCACCACUCUCUUUCUCUCUCUCUCUCUCUCUCUCUCUCUCUCUCUCUCUCUGUGGCAUGCAUGGCCGAAGAUGUGAAGAGGCUCAUACUGAUAAUCCAGCAGCUAACCGUCGAUGACCAGAUAUAGCUAUGAGAUCUGAAGGCUUA